AAUGAACGCUGGCGGCGUGCUUAACACAUGCAAGUCGUACGAGAAAUCCUCUGCUUGCAGGGGAGAGUAAAGUGGCGCACGGGUGAGUAACGCGUGGGUAAUCUACCCUUGGAUUCAGGAUAACACUUCGAAAGGGGUGCUAAUACUGGAUAACAUCCUGAUGGUUUCGGUCAUAAGGAUCAAAGAUAGCCUCUACAAGUAAGCUAUUGUUCAGGGAUGAGCCCGCGUACCAUUAGCUAGUUGGUGGGGUAAGAGCCUACCAAGGCGACGAUGGUUAGCUGGUCUGAGAGGAUGAUCAGCCACACUGGAACUGAAACACGGUCCAGACUCCUACGGGUGGCUG
Molecule: ribosomal RNA, 343 nt
Filed under: uncultured Pseudomonadota bacterium
Lineage: Bacteria; Pseudomonadati; Pseudomonadota
Description: bacterial SSU rRNA
Rfam family: Bacterial small subunit ribosomal RNA
Source: RNAcentral